GUCUGGUGUGUGGGAGUCAGGGUUCCAGCUGCAGCUCAUCUACACUAAUCACCUCUGCUACAAAUAUCUGGUCAACCUACCACUCCUCGUUGGAUCAUAGUCAAGACAACACUUCUUGGAACCUGACUCCUGCUGCCACUUCACUCCUGCCAUCCACCAUUCCUGCUCUCUACACUGGAUCUCAGGACUAUUGGACAUGGACACUUGGACAUUACGGUACCACUCCCGCUCUGUACCCUGGAUCUGGAAUCCAUUGGACUUUGCUUUUUCCUGGUUCCAUUCCUGAACUUGAACAUUUGCAAAUAAACCUGUUAAACUUUCA
Molecule: long non-coding RNA, 322 nt
Organism: Perca fluviatilis (European perch)
Lineage: Eukaryota; Metazoa; Chordata; Actinopteri; Perciformes; Percidae
Exons: 2
Source: RefSeq, a predicted model, not a curated record